AUAGCUCAUUACAACAGCCGUUGUUUCUUGGAUCUCUUCUCUACUUGGAUAACUGUGGUAAUUCUAGAGCUAAUACAUGCAAUCAAGCCCUGAACUUACGUGACGGGCGCAUUUAUUAGAACAAAACCAUCCGGCUUUGCCGUGCUUUGGUGACUCUGAAUAACUGAGCCGAUCGCACGGGCUUGUCCCGGCGACAUAUCUUUCAAGUGUCUGCCUUAUCAGGUUUCGUUGGCGGUUUAUGUGACCGCCAAGCCUGUAACGGGUAACGGAGGAUCAGGGUCUGACUCCGGAGAGGGAGCCUGAGAAACGGCUACCACUUCUAAGGAAGGCAGCAGGCGCGCAAAUUACCCACUCUUGGAGCAAGGAGGUAGUGACGAAAAAUACCAAGGUCAGGCUCAUUGAGCUUGACCAUUGGAAUGAGAACAAUCUAAAUCCUUUAACGAGGAUCUAGUGGAGGGCAAGUCUGGUGCCAGCAGCCGCGGUAAUUCCAGCUCCGCAAGUGUAUUCCUAUACUGUUGCGUUUAAAUAGCUCGUAGUUGGAUCUGCGUGUUUAGCGCGUGGUGCUGCUUUUUGUGGUUACUGCGACGCGACACAGUGUUGCUUUCUGCCACGAUGCUCUCGCGAGUGUCGUGUCGAUAAGCAGAGUUUACUUUGAACAAAUCAGAGUGCUCAAAACGGGCGUUUCGCUCGAAUGUUCUUGCAUGGAAUAAUGGAAUAGGACCUCGUGUUCUAUUUUGUUGGUUUUCGGGACCGAGGUAAUGAUUAAGAGGGACAGACGGGGGCAUUUGUACUGCGACGUGAGAGGUGAAAU
This 811-nucleotide ribosomal RNA is filed under the name Monhysteridae sp. h PYS-2019. Its description in RNAcentral is "SSU rRNA". It matches the Rfam family "Eukaryotic small subunit ribosomal RNA", at positions 93 to 917 of the family's 1831-position model. The record is from RNAcentral. Lineage: Eukaryota; Metazoa; Nematoda; Chromadorea; Monhysterida; Monhysteridae.